Molecule: long non-coding RNA, 776 nt
Filed under: Phoenix dactylifera (date palm)
Lineage: Eukaryota; Viridiplantae; Streptophyta; Magnoliopsida; Arecales; Arecaceae
Description: long non-coding RNA (PDAC_LNC014466)
Source: RNAcentral
CGCCUGGGACGCGACUGACAACUUUUGCAGGUUUGGUUUGAAUUUCAAAUCUCUUUAACUUUAUCUCUAACGGCUAUAUUUGCUUUUUGGGCUAUAAAAGGGAGCUCUUAAGUGCUUUCCAACAACUUCUCAAAAACCCAACACAAGAUCAUUCAAGAGAGAAGAAAGAAAAAGAGGUUCAAGAGAGUUAGUGCAUUCAAGUGAAGAAAUCAAGUGCCUUCAAGCUUUCCAAGUGAUUUCGUGCUCAACUACUUUCUUCCGCUAGGCAUUCAAAGCUCACAUUCAAGCCAACGCGAUCCACAUCGGAAGAACCACCAUUUCCCACGCUUCCAACGGCUAAAAGGGUUCUUCCGGGUUUCAUUGUUUAUCAUUGUUAUAUUUGCUUAUUUAGAGCUUUCAAAUUUUUUGUAAAACUUUUUCAAUAUUGUGCUUGUUCCAGUCAAGGGACUUGGAACAAGGGAAAGGCGUCCCAAGCCUAGGUGAAAUUGGGGGUUUUAGGGUUCGUUGUUAGCCCGGUGUAAAACAACGAGUUGGGUAGUGCACUCGCAAAACUACCGUACUGUAAUCUUGGAUUAUAGUGGAAAUUCCCAAAGGUGCUUUGGGGAGUGGAUGUAGGAGCAGUGGAAGCUCCGAACCACUAAAAAAGCUGGUGUUUGCGAUUGUCUGUUUUCAUACCUUUAUUUUUACUUUAGCUCAUACAUUUGUGUGUUUUAUUAGACAAAAAGUUUUAAAACACCCAAUUCACCCCCCUCUUGGGUGACCAUCUCUGGGCAACA